GAGCCCCAUCGCCAUGGGAGGUAAGCGGCAACACAACGCACCUCCCAGCCCAGAGCCCGCGACCGCGAGACCAUUCGCGCGCCCCUCUCCAUCCCCGCCCGGGCCCUCGGGAUGUCCUCGUCCUCCGCCGCCGCCUCCGUGCCGGGGGCCACGCCGGCGGACGCCCUCCGCCGCAACCGUAUCAUCUCCAGCAAGCUCUACUUCGACGUGCCGGGCUCCAAGGUCAGUCGUCCGGCCGGGAGAUGCUCCUCCGUUCGCCCCGAAUCCCCGAUCACCCGUUAAUCUGCGGCUGCGACUGCCUGGCAGGCUCCGGUGGUCUACUCGACGGCGUACGACAUCGCCUUCCUCGGAAUCGAGAAGAUGCACCCGUUUGAUUCCUCCAAAUGGGGCCGCAUAUGCAGGUUCCUCACCAAAGAAGGCCACCUGGAGAAGACGCGGGUGGUGGAGCCAUUGGAGGCUUCCAAGGAAGAUCUGCUGGUGGUUCACACGGAGGCGUACUUGAACAGCCUCAGGAGCAGCUUCAGGGUUGCAGCCAUUGUAGAGGUUCCUCCAUUAACGCUCAUGCCUAAUUGGCUCGUGCAGCAAAGGCUACUGUACCCCUUCCGGAAACAGGUGGGUGGGUCCAUUUUAUCAGCUAAACUUGCUCUUGAGAGAGGAUGGGCGAUUAAUGUCGGUGGAGGGUUUCACCAUUGUUCGGCAGAGGAAGGGGGAGGAUUUUGUGCAUAUGCUGAUAUUUCGCUCUCCAUUCAGUUUGCGUUUGUCCGUCUGGAUAUUUCAAGAGUAAUGAUCAUAGAUCUGGAUGCUCACCAAGGAAAUGGUCAUGAGAAGGAUUUUGCUAAUGAUGGAAGGGUUUACAUUUUGGACAUGUACAAUGCUGGAAUUUAUCCAUUUGAUCAUGCUGCUAAGCGAUAUAUUGAUCAGAAAGUCGAGUUAGUUAGUGGGACAGAAACAGAUGAUUACUUGGAUCAGCUUGACAAGGCUCUGAAGGUCGCCCAAACUAGAUUCCAGCCCCAGCUUAUUAUUUAUAAUGCUGGGACCGACAUCCUGGAUGGUGAUCCAUUGGGCAACUUGAAGAUAAGCCCUGAAGGUGUGGUGAUUAGAGAUGAGAAGGUGUUCAGAUUUGCAAAAGAUCAGAACAUUCCACUUGUCAUGAUGACAUCAGGAGGCUACAUGAAGUCGAGCGCACGUGUAAUCGCAGAUUCGAUUACCAAUCUCUCACAGAAGAACUUGGUACAACUAGGUAGCCAGCCAGACUAAAAGAGGAGCCUCUGCCACCCACAAGCUUUCAACCUGAAGGGCACAUCCACUGGAUGUAUAGCGUGUAAGAAGAGGUUUACAGUUCUAUCAUAUUAGCAUGUAUAAAUCACAAAAAAUCUUGUCACCUUGUACAUACCGUCAUAAGGCCUUUGUUUCCAAGAAGAGCAGUGGGGAAGCUGAGAGCGCCAUGAUGACAAGAGAGACAACACCUGGAGAUCGCCGUUGAUCCCCAUCGUCAAACUAUACUAUGUACUACUACGGGUUUCAGUUACUAUUUUCUUGUGGGAAGCCAAUAAAUACUGCUUAAAGAGUUUGCACUAUAGAUCUUGAAGGUUUUCAAGAGAUAUAGCAUGAUGUUCUUUUGUCAUGCCGGCUUUCCUGACAAGACCAUUUUUUG
This 1654-nucleotide ribosomal RNA is filed under the name Triticum aestivum (bread wheat). Its description in RNAcentral is "partial small subunit ribosomal RNA". Lineage: Eukaryota; Viridiplantae; Streptophyta; Magnoliopsida; Poales; Poaceae. The record is from RNAcentral.